GCAGGGCCGAGUGUUGCACCCAGAACAGACACGGGUGGUCAGUGUUCGGGAGUGUGCUCGUUCCCAGGGCUUUCCAGACACAUUCCGCUUCUUUGGAACCAUCUUGGAGAAACACAGACAGGUUGGUAAUGCUGUGCCGCCUCCAAUGGCCCGUGCUUUAGGAUUGGAAA
Long non-coding RNA from Portunus trituberculatus (swimming crab), 170 nucleotides. RefSeq lists it as uncharacterized. The record is from RefSeq and is a predicted model, not a curated record. The transcript has 2 exons. NCBI's taxonomy places the organism in Eukaryota, Metazoa, Arthropoda, Malacostraca, Decapoda, Portunidae.